AAAAGGUGGCUAUGCUACCGCUUUUGGAUGGGCCCGCGGCGCAUUAGCUAGUUGGUGGGGUAAAGGCUUACCAAGGCAAUGAUGCGUAGCCGAACUGAGAGGUUGAUCGGCCACAUUGGGACUGAGACACGGCCCAAACUCCUACGGGAGGCAGCAGUAGGGAAUCUUCCACAAUGGGCGAAAGCCUGAUGGAGCAACGCCGCGUGGGUGAAGAAGGUCUUCGGAUCGUAAAACCCUGUUGUUAGAGAAGAAAGUGCGUGAGAGUAACUGUUCACGUUUCGACGGUAUCUAACCAGAAAGCCACGGCUAACUACGUGCCAGCAGCCGCGGUAAUACGUAGGUGGCAAGCGUUAUCCGGAUUUAUUGGGCGUAAAGGGAACGCAGGCGGUCUUUUAAGUCUGAUGUGAAAGCCUUCGGCUUAACCGGAGUAGUGCAUUGGAAACUGGGAGACUUGAGUGCAGAAGAGGAGAGUGGAACUCCAUGUGUAGCGGUGAAAUGCGUAGAUAUAUGGAAGAACACCAGUGGCGAAAGCGGCUCUCUGGUCUGUAACUGACGCUGAGGUUCGAAAGCGUGGGUAGCAAACAGGAUUAGAUACCCUGGUAGUCCACGCCGUAAACGAUGAAUGCUAAGUGU
Molecule: ribosomal RNA, 633 nt
Filed under: uncultured bacterium
Lineage: Bacteria
Description: bacterial SSU rRNA
Rfam family: Bacterial small subunit ribosomal RNA
Source: RNAcentral